UAGAUACCCUGGUAGUCCACGCCGUAAACGAUGAGUGCUAGGUGUUGGAGGGUUUCCGCCCUUCAGUGCUGCAGCUAACGCAUUAAGCACUCCGCCUGGGGAGUACGACCGCAAGGUUGAAACUCAAAGGAAUUGACGGGGGCCCGCACAAGCGGUGGAGCAUGUGGUUUAAUUCGAAGCAACGCGAAGAACCUUACCAGGUCUUGACAUCCUUUGACCACUCUAGAGAUAGAGCUUCCCCUUCGGGGGCAAAGUGACAGGUGGUGCAUGGUUGUCGUCAGCUCGUGUCGUGAGAUGUUGGGUUAAGUCCCGCAACGAGCGCAACCCUUAUUGUUAGUUGCCAUCAUUCAGUUGGGCACUCUAGCAAGACUGCCGGUGACAAACCGGAGGAAGGUGGGGAUGACGUCAAAUCAUCAUGCCCCUUAUGACCUGGGCUACACACGUGCUACAAUGGGAAGUACAACGAGUUGCGAAGUCGCGAGGCUAAGCUAAUCUCUUAAAGCUUCUCUCAGUUCGGAUUGCAGGCUGCAACUCGCCUGCAUGAAGCCGGAAUCGCUAGUAAUCGCGGAUCAGCACGCCGCGGUGAAUACGUUCCCGGGCCUUGUACACACCGCCCGUCACACCACGAGAGUUUAUAACACCCGAAGUCGGUGAGGUAACCUUUUUGGAGCCAGCGGCCUAAGGUGGGAUAGAUGAUUGGGGUGAAGUCGUAAAAGG
This 717-nucleotide ribosomal RNA is filed under the name uncultured bacterium. RNAcentral's name for it is "bacterial SSU rRNA". It matches the Rfam family "Bacterial small subunit ribosomal RNA", at positions 779 to 1496 of the family's 1533-position model. The record is from RNAcentral.